RNAcentral lists this non-coding RNA (26 nucleotides) under Rattus norvegicus (Norway rat). Lineage: Eukaryota; Metazoa; Chordata; Mammalia; Rodentia; Muridae. The record is from RNAcentral.
UCCUAGAUGAAGUAAGAUGACUGUUC